Molecule: non-coding RNA, 296 nt
Organism: Pelobates cultripes (western spadefoot toad)
Lineage: Eukaryota; Metazoa; Chordata; Amphibia; Anura; Pelobatidae
Source: the annotation of a GenBank genome assembly
CAUGCCACAGCAUCUCAAUCGGGUUGAGGUCAGGACUCUGACUGGUCCACUUCAGAAGGCGUAUUUUCUUCUGGUUAAGCCAUUUUGUUGUUGAUUUACUUCUAUGCUUUGGAUCAUUGUCCUGUUGCAACACCCAUCUUCUGUUGAGCUUCACCUGGUAGACAGAUGGCCUUAAGUUCUCCUGCAAAAUGACCCGUGUUACCAUACGCUCUCAAAGGCAACAUAACCAAUCUGGCAAAUUUCAAUGUGAAAAAACUGAAAAAUGUAACGUGCUAUAUUUUGACCCUGUAACUUCC